CGAGUGGCGGACGGGUGAGUAAUGUCUGGGAAACUGCCCGAUGGAGGGGGAUAACUACUGGAAACGGUAGCUAAUACCGCAUAACGUCGCAAGACCAAAGAGGGGGACCUUCGGGCCUCUUGCCAUCGGAUGUGCCCAGAUGGGAUUAGCUAGUAGGUGGGGUAACGGCUCACCUAGGCGACGAUCCCUAGCUGGUCUGAGGGGAUGACCAGCCACACUGGAACUGAGACACGGUCCAG
RNAcentral lists this ribosomal RNA (239 nucleotides) under uncultured bacterium. RNAcentral's name for it is "partial 16S ribosomal RNA". It matches the Rfam family "Bacterial small subunit ribosomal RNA", at positions 92 to 334 of the family's 1533-position model. The record is from RNAcentral.